RNAcentral lists this ribosomal RNA (253 nucleotides) under uncultured bacterium. Its description in RNAcentral is "partial 16S ribosomal RNA". It matches the Rfam family "Bacterial small subunit ribosomal RNA", at positions 524 to 776 of the family's 1533-position model. The record is from RNAcentral.
UACGUAGGGUGCAAGCGUUGUCCGGAAUCAUUGGGCGUAAAGAGCGUGUAGGCGGCCCGAUAAGUCCGCUGUGAAAGUCCAGGGCUCAACCCUGGGAUGCCGGUGGAUACUGUCGGGCUCGAGUCCGGAAGAGGAGUGUGGAAUUCCUGGUGUAGCGGUGAAAUGCGCAGAUAUCAGGAGGAACACCAAUGGCGAAGGCAGCACUCUGGGACGUGACUGACGCUGAGACGCGAAAGCGUGGGGAGCAAACAGG